UAGUCUGGUGCCAGCAGCCGCGGUAAUUCCAGCUCCAAUAGCGUAUAUUAAAGUUGUUGCAGUUAAAACGCUCGUAGUCGGAUUUCGGGGCAGGUUUGCCGGUCUGCCGAUGGGUAUGCACUGGUAGAACUGUCCUUCCUUCCGGAGACGGCGCCUACUCUUAACUGAGCGGGUGUCGGAGACGGAUCGUUUACUUUGAAAAAAUCAGAGUGUUUCAAGCAGGCAGCUCGCUUUUGCAUGGAUUAGCAUGGGAUAAUGAAAUAGGACUUUGGUGCUAUUUUGUUGGUUUCGAACACCGAAGUAAUGAUUAACAGGGACAGUCAGGGGCACUCGUAUUCCGCCGAGAGAGGUGAAAUUCUUAGACCAGCGGAAGACGAACCACUGCGAAAGCAUUUGCCAGGGAUGUUUUCACUGAUCAAGAACGAAAGUUAGGGGAUCGAAGACGAUCAGAUACCGUCGUAGUCUUAACCGUAAACCAUGCCGACUAGGGAUUGGAGGAUGUUCCUAUGUGACUCCUUCAGCACCUUUCGGGAAACUAAAGUCUUUGGGUUCCGGGGGGAGUAUGGUCGCAAGGCUGAAACUUAAAGGAAUUGACGGAAGGGCACCACCAGGAGUGGAGCCUGCGGCUUAAUUUGACUCAACACGGGGAAACUUACCAGGUCCAGACAUUGUGAGGAUUGACAGAUUGAGAGCUCUUUCUUGAUUCGAUGGGUGGUGGUGCAUGGCCGUUCUU
This 733-nucleotide ribosomal RNA is filed under the name uncultured eukaryote. RNAcentral describes it as "SSU rRNA". It matches the Rfam family "Eukaryotic small subunit ribosomal RNA", at positions 557 to 1295 of the family's 1831-position model. The record is from RNAcentral.